RNAcentral lists this ribosomal RNA (808 nucleotides) under uncultured Planctomycetota bacterium. Its description in RNAcentral is "bacterial SSU rRNA". It matches the Rfam family "Bacterial small subunit ribosomal RNA", at positions 46 to 832 of the family's 1533-position model. The record is from RNAcentral. Lineage: Bacteria; Pseudomonadati; Planctomycetota.
GGAUUAGGCAUGCAAGUCGCACGAGAAAGGCUUCUUCGGAAGCCGAGUAAAGUGGCGAACGGGUGAGUAAUGCAUAGACAACUUGCCCUUGAGAUGGGGACAACGCCUCGAAAGGGGUGCUAAUACCCAAUGCCGCCUUGGGCCUGCGGGUCCAGGGUGAAAGGAGGCCUCUGAUUCAAGCUUCCGCUCAAGGAGAGGUUUAUGUCCUAUUAGCUAGUUGGCGGGGUAACGGCCCACCAAGGCUGCGAUGGGUAGCCGACCUGAGAGGGUGACCGGCCACAUUGGGACUGAGACACUGCCCAGACUCCUACGGGAGGCUGCAGUCGAGAAUCUUCCGCAAUGCGCGCAAGCGUGACGGAGCGACGCCGCGUGGGUGAUGAAGGCCUUCGGGUUGUAAAACCCUGUCAGCUACUACGAAACACGGGCGAUGAACAAUCGUCCCGUCUGACUUAAGUAGCAGAGGAAGCACCGGCUAACUACGUGCCAGCAGCCGCGGUAAUACGUAGGGUGCAAACGUUGUUCGGAAUCACUGGGCAUAAAGGGCGCGUAGGCGGUCUGAUAAGUCAGGUGUGAAAUCCCUCGGCCUAACCGAGGAACUGCAUUUGAUACUGUCGGGCUAGAGUACAGGAGGGGAGAGUGGAAUUCCUGGUGGAGCGGUGAAAUGCGUAGAUAUCAGGAGGAACGCCGGCGGCGAAAGCGACUCUCUGGCCUGUUACUGACGCUGAGGCGCGAAAGCUAGGGGAGCAAACGGGAUUAGAUACCCCGGUAGUCCUAGCCCUAAACGAUGGGCACUAAGUAGAGGGGUUUU